GAAGGCAUCUUCAUAAAGAAGGGGGCUUGCAAACACCGGGAUGUUGUCUUCA
RNAcentral lists this transfer RNA (52 nucleotides) under Boodlea composita. RNAcentral describes it as "tRNA-Ala". The record is from RNAcentral. Lineage: Eukaryota; Viridiplantae; Chlorophyta; Ulvophyceae; Cladophorales; Boodleaceae.